AGCAGUCGCCGCGGUAAUACGUAGGGUGCAAGCGUUAAUCGGAAUUACUGGGCGUAAAGCGUGCGCAGGCGGUUUGUUAAGACAGAUGUGAAAUCCCCGGGCUCAACCUGGGAACUGCAUUUGUGACUGGCAGGCUAGAGUAUGGCAGAGGGGGGUGGAAUUCCGCGUGUAGCAGUGAAAUGCGUAGAUAUGCGGAGGAACACCGAUGGCGAAGGCAGCCCCCUGGGCCAAUACUGACGCUCAUGCACGAAAGCGUGGGGAGCAAACAGGAUUAGAUACCCCUGUAGUCCCUGUCUCUUAUAC
RNAcentral lists this ribosomal RNA (303 nucleotides) under uncultured bacterium. RNAcentral describes it as "partial 16S ribosomal RNA". It matches the Rfam family "Bacterial small subunit ribosomal RNA", at positions 507 to 807 of the family's 1533-position model. The record is from RNAcentral.